CUACGGGGGGCAGCAGUGAGGAAUAUUGGUCAAUGGGGGAAACCCUGAACCAGCGACGCCGCGUGUGGGAUGAAUGGGCUCUGCCCUGUAAACCACUGUUGAGAGGGAAGAAAAGCUUCUUAUGGAAGCCGGGACUGUACCUCUUCAGAAAGGAUCGGCUAACUACGUGCCAGCGGCCGCGGUAAUACGUAGGAUCCAAGCGUUGUCCGGAAUUACUGGGGUAAAGGGUGCGUAGGCGGGCUUGUGCGUCAGGGGUUAAAUCCCACGGCUUAACCGUGGAGCUGCCCUUGAUACGGCAAGUCUUGAGUGUGAGAGAGGAUGGUAGAAUUCCUGGUGUAGCGGUGAAAUGCGUAGAUAUCAGGAGGAAUACCAGUGGCGAAGGCGGCCAUCUGGCUCACUACUGACGCUGAGGCACGAAAGCGUGGGGAGCGAACAGGAUUAGAUACCCGUGUAGUC
Molecule: ribosomal RNA, 456 nt
Filed under: uncultured bacterium
Lineage: Bacteria
Description: partial 16S ribosomal RNA
Rfam family: Bacterial small subunit ribosomal RNA
Source: RNAcentral